Molecule: microRNA precursor, 81 nt
Filed under: Trypanosoma vivax Y486
Lineage: Eukaryota; Euglenozoa; Kinetoplastea; Trypanosomatida; Trypanosomatidae
Source: RNAcentral
GAGGGAGAUGGGAGGGAGAGGAAGCCAAACACGAUUUGUCCAUUUCCACGUCCUUCCUCCCUUUCUCUCCCUCUCUCCCUC